This 404-nucleotide ribosomal RNA is filed under the name uncultured bacterium. Its description in RNAcentral is "bacterial SSU rRNA". It matches the Rfam family "Bacterial small subunit ribosomal RNA", at positions 355 to 774 of the family's 1533-position model. The record is from RNAcentral.
UCGAGAAUCUUCCGCAAUGCGCGAAAGCGUGACGGAGCAAUGCCGCGUGCCGGAUGAAGGUCUUCGGAUUGUAAACGGCUGUCACACAGGACGAAUAAAUGACGGUACUGUGGAAGGAAGCACCGGCUAACUCCGUGCCAGCAGCCGCGGUAAUACGGGGGGUGCAAGCGUUGUCCGGAAUCAUUGGGCGUAAAGCGUUCGUAGGCGGUAUAUCAAGUCUGGUGUUAAAGCCCGGGGCUCAACUCCGGUUCGGCACUGGAUACUGGUAAACUAGAAUGCGGUAGAGGUAAGGGGAAUUCCUGGUGUAGCGGUGAAAUGCGUAGAUAUCAGGAGGAACAUCGGUGGCGAAAGCGCCUUACUGGGCUGUAAUUGACGCUGGGGAACGAAAGCCGGGGGAGCAAAUG